This is a non-coding RNA of Pelobates cultripes (western spadefoot toad), 479 nucleotides long. The record is from the annotation of a GenBank genome assembly. Lineage: Eukaryota; Metazoa; Chordata; Amphibia; Anura; Pelobatidae.
GAGGGGGGUGGGGAGGAGGGUACUGAGCCAAGUUAAGUGAUACAGAUGGUGUACCAGUGUACCCGUCUGUACUCACUGUAAAGGGCGGGAGCCGAAACAGCCCUUUAACAAGGAAUACAGCAGACCCCCAUGAUACAUGUGAGUCCGUGGGGGUCUGUAGCAUAUCCGGAAUAUCUUGGAGUUCGGCUGACUCUCUGGUAUGAUUCCGACGGUGUACAAUUGUACUCGUCGGUAAACUCACGAUUAGACGCAUACACGCUGUCAGCUCCCUGCAGCAGGACCUCUAGAAUAGUGAUCUUCUCCUGAUUUCACGCGGAAGUGAGGCCCCACGGGUAGAACAGGAGCCAGGACCACCAUGGAAGGCAGGUAAGAAACCAAGAUGCGGUCCGACCGGAAGUGACUUGCCAGACUGUCCACGGUAAGGUGGGAGAGGAUUGUCAGCCCUUUUAAGGGAAUUCAAGCCCCUCCCACAACUACAG